AGUGAACGCUGGCGGUAGGCCUAACGCAUGCAAGUCGAACGGCAGCACAGUAAGAGCUUGCUCUUACGGGUGGCGAGUGGCGGACGGGUGAGGAAUACAUCGGAAUCUACUUUUUCGUGGGGGAUAACGUAGGGAAACUUACGCUAAUACCGCAUACGACCUACGGGUGAAAGCAGGGGAUCUUCGGACCUUGCGCGAUUGAAUGAGCCGAUGUCGGAUUAGCUAGUUGGCGGGGUAAAGGCCCACCAAGGCGACGAUCCGUAGCUGGUCUGAGAGGAUGAUCAGCCACACUGGAACUGAGACACGGUCCAGACUCCUACGGGAGGCAGCAGUGGGGAAUAUUGGACAAUGGGCGCAAGCCUGAUCCAGCCAUACCGCGUGGGUGAAGAAGGCCUUCUGGUUGUAAAGCCCUUUUGUUGGGAAAGAAAAGCAGCAGGUUAAUACCCCGCUGUUCUGACGGUACCCAAAGAAUAAGCACCGGCUAACUUCGU
This 491-nucleotide ribosomal RNA is filed under the name uncultured bacterium. RNAcentral describes it as "partial 16S ribosomal RNA". It matches the Rfam family "Bacterial small subunit ribosomal RNA", at positions 29 to 506 of the family's 1533-position model. The record is from RNAcentral.